UGGCUCAGGAUGAACGCUGGCGGCGUGCUUAACACAUGCAAGUCGAACGAUGAAGCCCAGCUUGCUGGGUGGAUUAGUGGCGAACGGGUGAGUAACACGUGAGUAACCUGCCCUUAACUCUGGGAUAAGCCUGGGAAACURGGUCUAAUACCGGAUAGGAGCGCCUACCGCAUGGUGGGUGUUGGAAAGAUUUAUCGGUUUUGGAUGGACUCGCGGCCUAUCAGCUUGUUGGUGAGGUAAUGGCUCACCAAGGCGACGACGGGUAGCCGGCCUGAGAGGGUGACCGGCCACACUGGGACUGAGACACGGCCCAGACUCCUACGGGAGGCAGCAGUGGGGAAUAUUGCACAAUGGGCGAAAGCCUGAUGCAGCGACGCCGCGUGAGGGAUGACGGCCUUCGGGUUGUAAACCUCUUUCAGUAGGGAAGAAGCGAAAGUGACGGUACCUGCAGAAGAAGCACCGGCUAACUACGUGCCAGCAGCCGCGGUAAUACGUAGGGUGCGAGCGUUAUCCGGAAUUAUUGGGCGUAAAGAGCUCGUAGGCGGUUUGUCGCGUCUGUCGUGAAAGUCCGGGGCUUAACCCCGGAUCUGCGGUGGGUACGGGCAGACUAGAGUGCAGUAGGGGAGACUGGAAUUCCUGGUGUAGCGGUGGAAUGCGCAGAUAUCAGGAGGAACACCGAUGGCGAAGGCAGGUCUCUGGGCUGUAACUGACGCUGAGGAGCGAAAGCAUG
Molecule: ribosomal RNA, 730 nt
Filed under: Micrococcus sp. MN 9.1a.3
Lineage: Bacteria; Bacillati; Actinomycetota; Actinomycetes; Micrococcales; Micrococcaceae
Description: bacterial SSU rRNA
Rfam family: Bacterial small subunit ribosomal RNA
Source: RNAcentral